GAUGCUAGGUGAAGACCUACUAUGUGCCACACACCUGGCAGGGUCAGUUACACUCCUGCAGUUACUGAGCCCUUGCAAGUCUUGAGUGAAAGCUAAGAUUUUGUAUUAAAAAAGAGGAUGCUGGGAUUUACUAUCACCACGACUAGACAACUUGCCUGAAGCUCAUGGAAGUUGGGAACCUUGUAUCAAAAUAGAACAACUGGGGACCUAAGCCAAUAUGGGAACCCAGAUCUGACUCCUGAAUUUAAGCCCUGCCUUGCCUCAUGGACCUACUUCAUUGCAUCCUUCCUGGCCACCAUUCCUCAACCAAACCUUCUUCUUAAGGAAGGGGAAAAAAAUGAGCUAACAGCUGCUAGGAGAUUUGGAAUGAAUGUGAAGUUCUCCAGGUUAAAAUGGAGACCAAGGGAAAUUCAUAUGACUCCACUUUCCUCAUCUCUCUGGAUCCCUCAUCGAGCCAGUAAUGUAUUCCCCCUUCUUGCUAACACACUUUUUAAAAUGUUAAUAGACUGUAAAUUACUUUUCUUUUUAUACUUCUUAAAAUAAGCGUUUCCUCUUGUAGAUGGCAAGACGACGCUGGAGUUACGGGCUUGGUUUUAUUACUGUCGAGAUGAGAUGGACUGGAGAGAGCUCAUACAGCUUUUAUAGGAACUAUUUUAUUUAUAAGAAUUUUCCUAAUGUCAGAUGGAUGUGACAUGCCUGGUUUCUUUCUGCCCGCUAUUGAGAGAAGAGAGGUAUUUAGCAUGGA
This 745-nucleotide long non-coding RNA is filed under the name Pan troglodytes (chimpanzee). RNAcentral's name for it is "lincRNA". Lineage: Eukaryota; Metazoa; Chordata; Mammalia; Primates; Hominidae. The record is from RNAcentral.